CCCGAAAAGCCAAAAAAACUGAUUCGUAAUCAGUAGGUCCCCGGUUCAAUCCCGGGUGUCGGCACCA
This 67-nucleotide transfer RNA is filed under the name Acidiphilium sp. 37-60-79. RNAcentral's name for it is "tRNA-Leu". Lineage: Bacteria; Pseudomonadati; Pseudomonadota; Alphaproteobacteria; Acetobacterales; Acidocellaceae. The record is from RNAcentral.